RNAcentral lists this ribosomal RNA (459 nucleotides) under uncultured bacterium. RNAcentral describes it as "partial 16S ribosomal RNA". It matches the Rfam family "Bacterial small subunit ribosomal RNA", at positions 338 to 795 of the family's 1533-position model. The record is from RNAcentral.
CCUACGGGUGGCAGCAGUGAGGAAUAUUGGUCAAUGGGCGGGAGCCUGAACCAGCCAAGUAGCGUGAAGGAUGACAGCCCUAUGGGUUUUAAACUUCUUUUAUAAGGGAAUAAAGUGCCCCACGUGUGGGGUUUUGUAUGUACCUUAUGAAUAAGCAUCGGCUAAUUCGGCGCCAGCAGCCGCGGUAAUACGGAAGAUGAGAGCGUUAUCCGGAUGUAUUGGGGUUAAUGGGAGCGUGGGCGGUUCCAUAAGUUUGCGGUAAAAUCGUGCGGCUAAACAGUUACUUGCGGUUGAAACUGUGAGACUUGAGUGUGCGAAGGGUAGGUGGAAGUCGUGGUGUAGCGGUAAAAUGCUUAGAUAUCACGAAGAACUCCGAUCGCGAAGGCAAUGUACCGGAGCAAGACUGACGCUGAGGCUCGAAAGUGCGGGUAUCAAACAGGAUUAGAUACCCCAGUAGUC